Molecule: ribosomal RNA, 2889 nt
Filed under: Klebsiella pneumoniae
Lineage: Bacteria; Pseudomonadati; Pseudomonadota; Gammaproteobacteria; Enterobacterales; Enterobacteriaceae
Description: 23S ribosomal RNA
Rfam family: Bacterial large subunit ribosomal RNA
Source: RNAcentral
UUAAGUGACUAAGCGUACACGGUGGAUGCCCUGGCAGUCAGAGGCGAUGAAGGACGUGCUAAUCUGCGAAAAGCGUCGGUAAGGUGAUAUGAACCGUUAUAACCGGCGAUGUCCGAAUGGGGAAACCCAGUGCAAUUCGUUGCACUAUCGUUAACUGAAUACAUAGGUUAACGAGGCGAACCGGGGGAACUGAAACAUCUAAGUACCCCGAGGAAAAGAAAUCAACCGAGAUUCCCCCAGUAGCGGCGAGCGAACGGGGAGCAGCCCAGAGUCUGAAUCAGCUUGUGUGUUAGUGGAACGGUCUGGAAAGUCCGACGGUACAGGGUGAUAGUCCCGUACACCAAAAUGCACAGGNUGUGAACUCGAAGAGUAGGGCGGGACACGUGGUAUCCUGUCUGAAUAUGGGGGGACCAUCCUCCAAGGCUAAAUACUCCUGACUGACCGAUAGUGAACCAGUACCGUGAGGGAAAGGCGAAAAGAACCCCGGCGAGGGGAGUGAAAAAGAACCUGAAACCGUGUACGUACAAGCAGUGGGAGCACCUUCGGGUGUGACUGCGUACCUUUUGUAUAAUGGGUCAGCGACUUAUAUUCUGUAGCAAGGUUAACCGUAUAGGGGAGCCGCAGGGAAACCGAGUCUUAACUGGGCGUUAAGUUGCAGGGUAUAGACCCGAAACCCGGUGAUCUAGCCAUGGGCAGGUUGAAGGUUGGGUAACACUAACUGGAGGACCGAACCGACUAAUGUUGAAAAAUUAGCGGAUGACUUGUGGCUGGGGGUGAAAGGCCAAUCAAACCGGGAGAUAGCUGGUUCUCCCCGAAAGCUAUUUAGGUAGCGCCUCGUGAACUCAUCUUCGGGGGUAGAGCACUGUUUCGGCUAGGGGGUCAUCCCGACUUACCAACCCGAUGCAAACUACGAAUACCGAAGAAUGUUAUCACGGGAGACACACGGCGGGUGCUAACGUCCGUCGUGAAGAGGGAAACAACCCAGACCGCCAGCUAAGGUCCCAAAGUCAUGGUUAAGUGGGAAACGAUGUGGGAAGGCACAGACAGCCAGGAUGUUGGCUUAGAAGCAGCCAUCAUUUAAAGAAAGCGUAAUAGCUCACUGGUCGAGUCGGCCUGCGCGGAAGAUGUAACGGGGCUAAACCAUGCACCGAAGCUGCGGCAGCGACACUAUGUGUUGUUGGGUAGGGGAGCGUUCUGUAAGCCUGCGAAGGUGNUGCUGGAGGUAUCAGAAGUGCGAAUGCUGACAUAAGUAACGAUAAAGCGGGUGAAAAGCCCGCUCGCCGGAAGACCAAGGGUUCCUGUCCAACGUUAAUCGGGGCAGGGUGAGUCGACCCCUAAGGCGAGGCCGAAAGGCGUAGUCGAUGGGAAACAGGUUAAUAUUCCUGUACUUGGUGUUACUGCGAAGGGGGGACGGAGAAGGCUAUGUUAGCCGGGCGACGGUUGUCCCGGUUUAAGCAUGUAGGCUGGUUGUCCAGGCAAAUCCGGAUAAUCAAGGCUGAGGUGUGAUGACGAGGCACUACGGUGCUGAAGUAACAAAUGCCCUGCUUCCAGGAAAAGCCUCUAAGCAUCAGGUAACAUCAAAUCGUACCCCAAACCGACACAGGUGGUCAGGUAGAGAAUACCAAGGCGCUUGAGAGAACUCGGGUGAAGGAACUAGGCAAAAUGGUGCCGUAACUUCGGGAGAAGGCACGCUGGUGUGUAGGUGAAGUCCCUGCGGAUGGAGCUGAGACCAGUCGAAGAUACCAGCUGGCUGCAACUGUUUAUUAAAAACACAGCACUGUGCAAACACGAAAGUGGACGUAUACGGUGUGACGCCUGCCCGGUGCCGGAAGGUUAAUUGAUGGGGUUAUCCGUAAGGAGAAGCUCUUGAUCGAAGCCCCGGUAAACGGCGGCCGUAACUAUAACGGUCCUAAGGUAGCGAAAUUCCUUGUCGGGUAAGUUCCGACCUGCACGAAUGGCGUAAUGAUGGCCAGGCUGUCUCCACCCGAGACUCAGUGAAAUUGAACUCGCUGUGAAGAUGCAGUGUACCCGCGGCAAGACGGAAAGACCCCGUGAACCUUUACUAUAGCUUGACACUGAACAUUGAGCCUUGAUGUGUAGGAUAGGUGGGAGGCUUUGAAGCGUGGACGCCAGUCUGCGUGGAGCCAACCUUGAAAUACCACCCUUUAAUGUUUGAUGUUCUAACGUUGGCCCCUGACCGGGGUUGCGGACAGUGUCUGGUGGGUAGUUUGACUGGGGCGGUCUCCUCCCAAAGCGUAACGGAGGAGCACGAAGGUUAGCUAAUCCUGGUCGGACAUCAGGAGGUUAGUGCAAUGGCAUAAGCUAGCUUGACUGCGAGCGUGACGGCGCGAGCAGGUGCGAAAGCAGGUCAUAGUGAUCCGGUGGUUCUGAAUGGAAGGGCCAUCGCUCAACGGAUAAAAGGUACUCCGGGGAUAACAGGCUGAUACCGCCCAAGAGUUCAUAUCGACGGCGGUGUUUGGCACCUCGAUGUCGGCUCAUCACAUCCUGGGGCUGAAGUAGGUCCCAAGGGUAUGGCUGUUCGCCAUUUAAAGUGGUACGCGAGCUGGGUUUAGAACGUCGUGAGACAGUUCGGUCCCUAUCUGCCGUGGGCGCUGGAGAAUUGAGGGGGGCUGCUCCUAGUACGAGAGGACCGGAGUGGACGCAUCACUGGUGUUCGGGUUGUCAUGCCAAUGGCACUGCCCGGUAGCUAAAUGCGGAAGAGAUAAGUGCUGAAAGCAUCUAAGCACGAAACUUGCCCCGAGAUGAGUUCUCCCUGAGACUUUAAGUCUCCUGAAGGAACGUUAAAGACGAUGACGUUGAUAGGCCGGGUGUGUAAGCGCAGCGAUGCGUUGAGCUAACCGGUACUAAUGAACCGUGAGGCUUAACCUU